RNAcentral lists this transfer RNA (64 nucleotides) under Paleosepharia posticata. Its description in RNAcentral is "tRNA-His". RNAcentral also lists the same sequence under 1 other name. Lineage: Eukaryota; Metazoa; Arthropoda; Insecta; Coleoptera; Chrysomelidae. The record is from RNAcentral.
AUUUAGUUAGUUUAAAUAAAAUAUUGAUUUGUGGAAUCAAAGAUAUAAAAUAAUAUACUAAAUU